Molecule: long non-coding RNA, 1608 nt
Filed under: Mytilus galloprovincialis (Mediterranean mussel)
Lineage: Eukaryota; Metazoa; Mollusca; Bivalvia; Mytilida; Mytilidae
Source: RNAcentral
CCUUUUCGAAAAUCCUCUUAACUGUGACUGCAGAAUUUUUGCAUUCUGGUCAUGGUUAAUUGAACAAUCAUCCAUAUAUGUAAGAAGCUAUGUUAAAUGUAGUAACGGAACAUUAGUUAUAUCACUGCAGUCAGCUGCUCUAGACACAUGUCAUCGUAAGUACUGCCAGUUGAUAGUGACCUUUAAAGUAUUACGUUUCGAAACAUCACAUUCAUGAAUUCCAUUUUCAAUCAGCAGAAUCUCAAAUAAUUAGUAUAGUUUGUUUUUAUGACAAAACAAUAUUCAAGGAUGAGAAUCAACAAAAACAAAAUUGCAUACAAAGGGUACAUCAUAUAUGUUUCAGUGUUUUCAGAGUUAUCUCCUGUCAAUCCACAAAGAAACAUUUAAAUGUAAUUGUAAAAAAAUACUAUAGAAUAAUACAGUACAUUUACAGACACAAAAACAACACACAAUUUGGUUUUGUAGAUGAAUCAAGUACCAAAAAAAGAUGUAUGAUUUCUUCUUGUUUUUAAAUUUCAAAAAAGGUACAUUUCAAAAAUACUCAACUUCGAAAAAAUAUUCUCAACGGAACAUUUCUAAUUUAAUUGAAAGUAUUAAAGGCUAAAACAAAGUCAUGUCAAUAAAAUGAAUAACAACUGCCAUAUUCCUUUGUUGGUUCAGUCAUUUUGUAUGUAUACAAUGAUGAAUUAAACCAGGUUUUUAUAGAAUGCAUCGAACGCUGAAAGAUAACAAUACCAUUCGUCUCUUGUUAAUAACACGAACACAUAAGUGUCCUUACAAACAACGCUAUAUUGCUGAGUAUGCAAAGUGCUCGACAAAACUGCUUUCUAUAAAAAAAAUAAACAUAUACUAUAUCAAAAAUCAUAACCUAGCUUCAGAAUUAUUUGGAAAUAUUCUACCCUUAGAAUGAUGUGAAUAAGAUGUAAUAAUUUUCCAGCUGAUACGAUUUUCUCGAUCGUGAUUUUCCUAUCAUAUUAUCAUUGUCAAUCGAGAAUGUUUGCUUAUAAUGACUCUUUUCUCUUAUGGAAGUGUAUAAUUGACAAUUUAAAUUAUCUAGAGCACAAACGUUAUUGAACAUAUAUGCUACAAUUGUCUCUUUGUUCUUAACGGUGUUGUCGCUCAAUUAUACGUCAAUCUGUCUUCGACUUCGAUUUCUCUUCAAAAAGACAGCUUCAAAUUUAUAUUCUGAUUUCUCUGACUAUUUUCAAUAAAACCAUGACAUGAACAUACAGUUUUACCAGUGCUUUAAAAUUAAACCGCAUCAGCAAUCAGUAUUUGGUUUGCACAUACACAAAAUAUUUCAUUGCAUUUUAUUUUAAAAAUAAUGAUAAAAAGGGUUAAAUUAUGUGUAGGUUGCUAAAUGUGUUAAUGAUUUUGCUUUAAUUUUAUAUUAACUUAUUUGACAAUUCAUGGUAGAAUUGUUUUAUUUAAGCUGCUAACUGUCAAUGCUUCAAUGGUGGGAAAUGUGUGGCAAUGGGUUAUACCCUUAUUUGUAAAUGUAUAGGACAAUGGACCGGCACAUUUUGUCAAGGUAUAUAUUUGAUUACAUUCAAGGAAACACAAUAGUAAUGAAACAGCUAAAAUUACAAAUGUUUAUUAUAAACAUAG